UUGUGUUUAACUUAGCGAAAGCUAAGUUGGUGCAAUAUUGACUAUGUCAAAUAAAGUUCUAGGUAGAAUUAUGAUUAUGACAUUGUUUAUCUAUGUGUCUUGACCAAAUUACGUGCCAGCAGUCGCGGUAACACGUAAUAGACUAGUGUUACUCAUCUUUAAUAGGUUUAAAGGGUACCUAGACUGCCAAUCAAACCCGCAAAAGGGUACUAAUUGGCUAGAGUUUAAUAUAAGGAGGCAUGAAAGUACUGAGAAUGUUGAGAGAUGAAAUACUGUGAUACUAUAUAUGGCACUGGUAAAGGCGAAAGCAUCUUAUUAUGUAAUAACUGACGUUGAGUGACGAAGGCUGUGUAUAGCAAAAAGGAUUAGAUACCCAAGUAGUCUCAGCAGAAAAUGAUGAAUGUCAUAGGAUAGAUUAAUUUUGUACUAUAAAUGAAAGUGUAAGCAUUCCACCUUAAGAGUAAUUUGGCAACAUUGGAACUGAAAUCAUUAGACCGUUUCUGAAACAAGUAGUGAAGUAUGUUGUUUAAUUUGAUGGUCCGCAAAAAACCUUACCACAAUUUGGAUGCAAAAUUUGUUAUACAUGCGCUGCAUGGUUGUCUUCAGUUAAUGUCGUGAGAUUGUGGUUAGUUCCAUUAAAUUAACGUAA
Molecule: ribosomal RNA, 649 nt
Filed under: Buellia sp. 3 UR-2019
Lineage: Eukaryota; Fungi; Ascomycota; Lecanoromycetes; Caliciales; Caliciaceae
Description: SSU rRNA
Rfam family: Bacterial small subunit ribosomal RNA
Source: RNAcentral